This 1273-nucleotide long non-coding RNA is filed under the name Homo sapiens (human). Its description in RNAcentral is "non-protein coding lnc-WDR17-4:1". The record is from RNAcentral. Lineage: Eukaryota; Metazoa; Chordata; Mammalia; Primates; Hominidae.
CUCCUAUAGUCUGAAAUUUGGGGUCCAGAGACACACUGUCCAAAUCAAGGUCAAGAAGUCUUUAACUUCUAAACACCUCCAAGUGUUCACCUACACAGAGCAGGGUACUCUCCUUGAGGUUUUUGUCCAGAAUGACUGCUGCUAUCAUGGUUACAUGGAAGGGAACCCCGAAACCCUGGUUGCUCUUAGCAAAGCCCUUGUAUUGAGAUAAAGGUAUUUGAUAAAAAGGUAAAUGUCAUUGUUUAUGAAAUUAAGCCCAAAAGACUUUCUACCACAUUUGAACAUCUGGUAUGUUCCCACCCAUGAAAUGCGGAUUAACAGAAGGAGAAAUAGCAAGACCAAGUUUCAAGAGAGUGAUAAUUUCCCUUUCAUGCAAAGUGGAUAUAAGGGCUGGUGGAGUCACAAAUGGAUCCUUGAACUGGCAGUGGUGGUAGACUAUAAACAAUUCUUCUAUCAGCAAUGUAAUAUCUGAAAAGUUCAGGAGGAAGUAGUCAUGGUUGUCCAUGAAAUAAGUGCUUAUUUAACCACAUUGGACAUUGAUGUGGUUUUACUUGGAACUGAGGUCUGGAAUGCCACCCCUGUCUCUGCAGAAAAAAAUCCAUUUCUGGGACAAUUUUGAGAAUUAAAAAAACAGCUUUAAUUCUUGCAUACACCAUAAUGCUGCACAUGUUUUUGUAAGACACAGAUACCCUAAAUAUCUUGGCUUAGAUUUAUUAUGUUGGAACAAUAUGCAGUCUUCCUCUUAAUUGUGGAAUUAGUAGUUUCAUAGGUGACACAUUUUCUUUUUUUUGCAUUGAUUGUGUUACAUGCACUUGGUUAUAAUUUGGGAAUGGAGUACAAUAACAAAACCAAAGUCCAUGAGGACAAAAAAUGAUACAUAAUGUUUGAAAUAGUAACAUAUGAAAGUAGGUAUAGCAGUUGCAGUUACAGUUAUGCUAAGUUAGUGGCCACCACUGUUAAAAAAAAAUUAAAGAGGUACUUAUACAAUUCACCAAAUCCUGAGGUCAUCUUCACAAAGCCAUGCUGUAUGAAUGGUGUGGUUGAAGAAAAUGAGGAUUAUGACUGUGGUUCUUUACAGUUGUGUAAAAAAGAUUCACGUGGUUUGGCGAACUGCACUCUGAAACCUGGGGCUGCUUGUGCUUUGGGGCUUCGUUGCAGUUCAUCCCAUCAGGUAAGGUGUGCAGAGAACAGGACAAUGGAUGUGAUCUUCCAGAGCAGUGAAACAGAACUUGCAUAAUUGUCCAGAAGAUGUGUAUGUGCAGGACAGGGUUCC